This 297-nucleotide ribosomal RNA is filed under the name Triticum aestivum (bread wheat). RNAcentral's name for it is "partial small subunit ribosomal RNA". Lineage: Eukaryota; Viridiplantae; Streptophyta; Magnoliopsida; Poales; Poaceae. The record is from RNAcentral.
AAGUAUAGGAGAAAAUUUAUGUGGAAGCAAGAGGAAGAGAUCACCGGAGCCAGUUGCAAGGUAAACUGGGCGACGGUCUGCACGCCAACCACGCACGGAGGCUUGGGCAUCCUUGACCUCGAGCGUUUCAGUCGGGCUCUGAGACUGAGAUGGCUCUGGAUUGCUUGGACAGACCCCGGCCGCCUGUGUGUGGGCACUGCGCCGCCUUGCUGCGACCAGGACAUAGCCCUCUUCGCAGCUGCAACCACAGUGGCAAUCGGGGACGGCUUGACGGCUUUGUUCUGGCACUCCCGUUGG